UGAGCAUUCUGGAGCAAAACCGA
This 23-nucleotide non-coding RNA is filed under the name Arabidopsis thaliana (thale cress). The record is from RNAcentral. Lineage: Eukaryota; Viridiplantae; Streptophyta; Magnoliopsida; Brassicales; Brassicaceae.